AUGAUACGCGAGGAACCCUUUACCAAGGCCUUAAAUGUAGAUUGACCGGUUUGGAAACAGACCCCUUCGCAAGACAAUUUACAAGGUGCUGCAUGGUUGUCGUCAGCUCGUGCCGUGAGGUGUCAGGUUAAGUCCUAUAACGAGCGCAAACCCCUGUUGUUAGUUGCCAGCGAGUCAUGUCGGGAACUCUAACGAGACUGCCAGUGCAAACUGAGAGGAAGGUGGGGAUGACGUCAAAUCAUCACGGCCCUUACGCCUUGGGCUACACACGUGCUACAAUGGCCGGUACAGAGAGCAGCCACUGGGUGACCAGGAGCGAAUCUACAAAACCGGUCACAGUUCGGAUCGGAGUCUGCCAACUCGACUCCGUGAAGCUGGAAUCGCUAGUAAUCGGAUAUCAGCCAUGAUCCGGUGAAUACGUUCCCGGGCCUUGUACACACCGCCC
Molecule: ribosomal RNA, 445 nt
Filed under: uncultured Bacteroidota bacterium
Lineage: Bacteria; Pseudomonadati; Bacteroidota
Description: bacterial SSU rRNA
Rfam family: Bacterial small subunit ribosomal RNA
Source: RNAcentral